RNAcentral lists this long non-coding RNA (1700 nucleotides) under Schizosaccharomyces pombe (fission yeast). The record is from RNAcentral. Lineage: Eukaryota; Fungi; Ascomycota; Schizosaccharomycetes; Schizosaccharomycetales; Schizosaccharomycetaceae.
UAGAACAAUGAAACUCAAUCUGUUUAACAGGAGAAACUAUUUAAAUGGAAUUGUACAGCAAUAAGCUAGGCAAAGUAAAAAAUGGAUCGAUAUAUCGUAUUUAGGGGAUGUGUUCUUAUUUGCGUAUUAUCCAAUUCGUUAUAAUGAAAAGGAUUCUAAAGAGGAAGGAAUGAAAAGGGUCCUUGCUAAUGAGAAAUGAAGAGUUUUACAGAAUGGUGGUGCUUCUUAAAGAACAAAUGAUAGACAAUUCUUGUGUUUUACGUCUCUUAUGAGUUUUAUUUUUAUUAUAUUUUUUUAUAUAUAUUUUUUUUUCUAUUUUUCUAUUUUUUUGCUUCACUACUUAUAGCUUUUCGUACUCUAUUUUUUACUUAUAAUACUUACGAUGGGUAAAAGUUGUAUGAACCAACAUGUGUAUGAACCAAAUGAGCCAACAAUUUCUUUUUUCUUUCAAUUUUUAUUUGUUCAUCUUAAUCAUUAUAUAUACUAUUCUUCUAUCUCAUACUAUUCAUCUGUCUAUCCCUCCAUUCAAACUUACUCCCACUACAAAAUGUCAUUUACAAAGAAAACCGGUUAGCGAUGUCUCGUUCCAAUUCGUUAUAUCAUCUACCUAGAGGCAAUUGAGGAGAAUGCGUUUUUAGACAAAUUUGGAAAAAGUUUUUCCUUAUAGAUAAAUAGAUUCUUGUCAUCUCUGUAAAAUCUUUUCCGCCAUUGCACUCAGCCAUACUGGUUUCUAUUCUUACUUCCGUUUUCCAUUUUUUCCGCUUCCCAACUAACUCAUCAUCCUUUCCCCCAAGGUCCGUUACAUCAUUUACCCCGCAACUGUGGGGUAAAAAAAAGAGCCGAAUUUUCGUUUGGAAUUGCGAAAUUUCCUGUCUCCCACAAGAAGAUCUCAUAAUGUUCAUUUUUGGGGAUAAUUUAGGAAUCAAAUGGGCAUUUAUUGCUUUUCCUGCAUUCUUCUUGAAAGAUGGAUAUUUCUCUUCCUUUUGAUCCGAACGGAUCAAAAGUCGUGCUGUCCACAUAUCGUUGUAUUUCCGUCUGCUAGAAUGCAUCAUCAGCAAUCUAGACGUAUCUUCUUGUUCUCGACAUCCUUUUCCAAAAAUUUUUAAUUCUGAAAUCUAUCAGCAACUCCCUUAAACUCAAAAUAUCGAUUCCUUUAUCUUGAGGAGCGAUGGAUGGGCUAGAAAUUUUGAUUCAAUAGGUAGGUUUUUUUUUUUGCAAUUGCAUUAGUAACUGUUUGGAGGUAAAUUGAAAUAACAAGCAUUACUUAAACCCUUUGCCUUUUUUUUUGAAUCUUUUUUUUUAAAAGGAAUCGUUUGUAGAGUACUUUGAAACUGCAGCCUUAAUUCAACGUCUUCUUGACUACCUUUAUUUUCCAAAUUAUGCGAACCUCGCUUGCAUGCGACUAUACAAAAAAUAAGGAAACCAGUCUCGCAUAAAAUUAAAUUUAAUUUUAAUCUUCAAAGCAUCUCGAUUUCGCGGACUAGGAUCCUGGAUAAAUGCGUUGAAACUAAGCCGAUGGGUUGUAAGAAUAUGGGAAAAGCUGCAAUGUAUCACAUUGAAUAGUCAAUUGAAGGACAUGGAGCUUUGAGCUUGUUGAAUGAAUAAAAGUUUUUGAUGAAUAAACGUUAUUAGACAUGAUUGUAUUUAUCGGGUUUCGACUUUAAAAGUUCAAUCAAUUAAUGAAAGACGUAAAAGCUGGA